AAGGAAUAUUGGGCAAUGGAGGCAACUCUGACCCAGCCAUGCCGCGUGCAGGAAGACGGCCCUACGGGUUAUAAACUGCUUUUAAUAGGGAGUAAGGUUAGUUACGUGUAACUAAUUGCAAGUACCUAUAGAAUAAGGAUCGGCUAACUCCGUGCCAGCAGCCGCGGUAAUACGGAGGAUCCAAGCGUUAUCCGGAUUUAUUGGGUUUAAAGGGUGCGCAGGCGGACUAAUAAGUCAGUGGUGAAAUCUACAUGCUUAACAUGUAUCGUGCCAUUGAUACUGUUGGACUAGUAUGCAAAUGACGUAGCUGGAAUGUGUUAUGUAGCGGUGAAAUGCUUAGAUAUAACACAGAACACCAAUCGUGAAGACAGGUUACGAAUUUGUAAUAGACGCUCAGGCACGAAAGCGUGGGGAUCAAACA
This 421-nucleotide ribosomal RNA is filed under the name uncultured Bacteroidota bacterium. RNAcentral's name for it is "bacterial SSU rRNA". It matches the Rfam family "Bacterial small subunit ribosomal RNA", at positions 356 to 774 of the family's 1533-position model. Lineage: Bacteria; Pseudomonadati; Bacteroidota. The record is from RNAcentral.